RNAcentral lists this ribosomal RNA (253 nucleotides) under uncultured bacterium. RNAcentral describes it as "partial 16S ribosomal RNA". It matches the Rfam family "Bacterial small subunit ribosomal RNA", at positions 524 to 776 of the family's 1533-position model. The record is from RNAcentral.
CACGUAGGGGGCAAGCGUUGUCCGGAAUUAUUGGGCGUAAAGAGCUCGUAGGCGGCUCGGUAAGUCAGGUGUCAAAUCCUCAGGCUCAACCUGGGGCUCCACCUGAUACUGCUGUGGCUAGAGUCCGGUAGGGGAGCGUGGAAUUCCUGGUGUAGCGGUGAAAUGCGCAGAUAUCAGGAGGAACACCGGUGGCGAAGGCGGUUCUCUGGGCAUUACCUGACGCUGAGGAGCGAAAGCAUGGGGAGCGAACAGG